RNAcentral lists this ribosomal RNA (300 nucleotides) under Enterobacter ludwigii. Its description in RNAcentral is "bacterial SSU rRNA". It matches the Rfam family "Bacterial small subunit ribosomal RNA", at positions 163 to 465 of the family's 1533-position model. The record is from RNAcentral. Lineage: Bacteria; Pseudomonadati; Pseudomonadota; Gammaproteobacteria; Enterobacterales; Enterobacteriaceae.
CUAAUACCGCAUAACGUCGCAAGACCAAAGAGGGGGACCUUCGGGCCUCUUGCCAUCAGAUGUGCCCAGAUGGGAUUAGCUAGUAGGUGGGGUAACGGCUCACCUACGCGACGAUCCCUAGCUGGUCUGAGAGGAUGACCAGCCACACUGGAACUGAGACACGGUCCAGACUCCUACGGGAGGCAGCAGUGGGGAAUAUUGCACAAUGGGCGCAAGCCUGAUGCACCCAUGCCGCGUGUAUGAAGAAGGCCUUCGGGUUGUAAAGUACUUUCAGCGGGGAGGAAGGUGUUGAGGUUAAUA